GCCGGUGUGGUGGAAUUGGCAGACACGCACGACUCAAAAUCGUGUUCCGUCAGGAGUGUCGGUUCGACCCCGACCACCGGUA
RNAcentral lists this transfer RNA (82 nucleotides) under Bacillus cereus. RNAcentral describes it as "tRNA-Leu". It matches the Rfam family "tRNA". From Rfam's summary of the family: Transfer RNA (tRNA) molecules are approximately 80 nucleotides in length. Their secondary structure includes four short double-helical elements and three loops (D, anti-codon, and T loops). Further hydrogen bonds mediate the characteristic L-shaped molecular structure. tRNAs have two regions of fundamental functional importance: the anti-codon, which is responsible for specific mRNA codon recognition, and the 3' end, to which the tRNAs corresponding amino acid is attached (by aminoacyl-tRNA synthetases). tRNAs cope with the degeneracy of the genetic code in two manners: having more than one tRNA (with a specific anti-codon) for a particular amino acid; and 'wobble' base-pairing, i.e. permitting non-standard base-pairing at the 3rd anti-codon position. Lineage: Bacteria; Bacillati; Bacillota; Bacilli; Caryophanales; Bacillaceae. RNAcentral also lists the same sequence under 1 other name. The record is from RNAcentral.